AACGAACGCUGGCGGCAUGCCUAACACAUGCAAGUCGAACGAGACCUUCGGGUCUAGUGGCGCACGGGUGCGUAACGCGUGGGAACCUGCCCUUAGGUUCGGAAUAACUCCCCGAAAGGGGUGCUAAUACCGGAUAAUGUCUUCGGACCAAAGAUUUAUCGCCUUUGGAUGGGCCCGCGUUGGAUUAGCUAGUUGGUAGGGUAAAAGCCUACCAAGGCGACGAUCCAUAGCUGGUCUGAGAGGAUGAUCAGCCACACUGGGACUGAGACACGGCCCAGACCCCUAGGGGGGGCAGCAGGGGGGAAUUUGGAAAAAUGGGCGAAAGCCUGACCCAGCAGGGCCGGGGGAGUGAGGAAGGCCUUAGGGUUGUAAAGCUUUUUUACCCGGGAUAAUAAUGAAGGAACCGGGAAAAAAAGCCCCGGCAAACCCCGG
Molecule: ribosomal RNA, 432 nt
Filed under: uncultured bacterium
Lineage: Bacteria
Description: partial 16S ribosomal RNA
Rfam family: Bacterial small subunit ribosomal RNA
Source: RNAcentral